This is a non-coding RNA of Punica granatum (pomegranate), 1509 nucleotides long. NCBI's taxonomy places the organism in Eukaryota, Viridiplantae, Streptophyta, Magnoliopsida, Myrtales, Lythraceae. The record is from RefSeq and is a predicted model, not a curated record.
CUUAAAUUAUUAGGGACGUUCAUGAACCUGACUUUUCUUGUUACUCUGAAUUAUUCUUAUCUUUCUGAAUUGCUUUAUUUUCGUUGAUCUCCUUCGAUGGCCGGAUAAGUAUGAAUAUUUGGUUAUAUUACAUAGUGAUAUGUAAUUAAUGGACAAAGAGAAGACCGUGGAUCCCCAGUCACCACCUCCCCCAUGGUCAGACCAUGAAUGCUCUUCGGACAUUGAAUACCUCAUGGAUUCCGAUGGAGAGAAGUACGAGGUUUAUUCCGAUGGAACGCAUGACAUGACCAGCAAAGAAUGGGACGAAUGUUGCAGGCGGGUCGAGGAGGAGAGCGAAGACUAUGAUGUGCAAGUAUUUCCGAUUGUUGCAAACUUCGGUAUAAUCCAACCCAUGGCCCUCGACGAGAAGCAGCUACCCAAAUUUAUCCGUGCCGCGGCUGUCACUCUUGACAAAUACAAGAAGGAUAAGGGUACCACGGCUGCAGUUUAAGGAGGUAAAAAAAUGCGCUGCAGCAGGAGGUUAGUGGCACGCUAUACUAUCUCACCUUUGAGGUUGUGGAUCCGGACGACGAGAAUCGCGUCAAAGUCUUUCAGGCGAAAGUGCUCGAAUUGUUUGGAGACGAUGAGUAUGAGGUCGAUCAGAUUCGACCCAAACCUACGUACCCCUUGAUUAUUCAUAUGGUAUGGCCUAUGGGAGAAUAAUCCUCGUCCUCGUCCCAAUAGGGAACCGAAGCGUCUCCUUCCUCACUUCCGAAGCUCAGAAGCUCGCCAGAGAUAAGCCAUGGCCACCGCUCUGCAAGUGACGAUGAGCUCUCUAGCUCCGUCUUCAUCUGCACCUUCCACCAGGAGAAGAACUCUCUGCUGCGCCGUCAACUCUAAGAACUCCGCGAAGAUUCCGAUUCCUCCGAUAAACCCUAAGGACCCCUUCCUGUCCAAGUUAGCAUCGGUCGCUGCGACCUCACCGGAAACGCUGCUCAACCGCCCCGUGAGCUCGGAUACGCCGCCGUACGUGGACCUGUUCGAUUCUCCGAAGCUCAUGGCUACUCCUGCUCAAGUAAGCAUGCUCCCCCAUGCUUCGUGUAUGCUGAGCUUCUUAAUGAAUCGCUGAGAGCUUCAAUGGAUAUGGAUGAAGUUAUCCCUAGUCUUUAGUUUCCAAUUUGUAGUGUUCGGUGCAGUCAGAGGAAAACUUAGCUCGGUCAACGAAGAAGUUAUCACUUACAAGAAAAAGGUCUAAUUUUUACGAAAUCAUAUGAUUAAGAUUGGGCGCGAACCCUAUUCUUCGACUAAAGCUGUUAUCGAUAUGUUUAAGAUCCAUUUAUAUGUCUUGUUGAAUCUAUAAAUAGGCGAGCCCGGUGUAAUUCGCUGAGUCGAACCUAAAGAAUAUAAAGAAUUUGCUAGAAUGUCACACACACCAAAUGGUGUGAAUGUAUUCUUAUUUAUAGUAAAUGGAAUGCAACAAUUGUGGAAAUAUAUCAAAGAUUACACAAUAUCAUAAAUAUCAAAUAUUCU